This 253-nucleotide ribosomal RNA is filed under the name uncultured bacterium. Its description in RNAcentral is "partial 16S ribosomal RNA". It matches the Rfam family "Bacterial small subunit ribosomal RNA", at positions 524 to 776 of the family's 1533-position model. The record is from RNAcentral.
UACAGAGGUCUCAAGCGUUGUUCGGAUUCAUUGGGCGUAAAGGGUGCGUAGGUGGCGGGGUAAGUCAGAUGUGAAAUCUCGGGGCUCAACCCCGAAACUGCAUUUGAUACUGCUUUGCUAGAGUACUGGAGAGGAGAUUGGAAUUUACGGUGUAGCAGUGAAAUGCGUAGAUAUCGUAAGGGAGACCAGUGGCGAAGGCGAAUCUCUGGACAGUUACUGACACUGAGGCACGAAGGCCAGGGGAGCAAACGGG